Molecule: long non-coding RNA, 3683 nt
Organism: Alexandromys fortis (reed vole)
Lineage: Eukaryota; Metazoa; Chordata; Mammalia; Rodentia; Cricetidae
Exons: 2
Source: RefSeq, a predicted model, not a curated record
AAGGUGUAAGACUUUAAGACAAUCCUGAAGCCAUUUUUGACAAUUCUGAAUCCUCUCAGCCUCUGUGCCAUAGUGCUUCCCCUCCUCCCCUGGGAACCAAGGACCUAACAGCUACACUUGCACGUACUCAGUUCCUGAACAAUUACCCAUAUACGUAUGCUUUGGUUCUGUCCCCUGGGAAACGAGGUCAAAAUGACCUCUUACCUCAUCUGAUCUGGCAACAGCUCUCCAGUCAAUUAUUGGUAAUAGCCCUUUCAAAUAAGCCAAUCAGAAUAGUCAAAGAACAACCCCCCUUGCUUCUGUGGCCCCUUUAAAAGUAGACUGUACCCGCUAUUCGAGGUCCCUCGGCUUCCCGAAUGCUGGGGGACCCUGUCAUGACAGAAUUAAUAAAAUCCUCAUGCUUUUGCAUCGGCUGUAGUGUGUGAGAUGGUCUCUGGGGGCGACUCCUUCUCGGUGUUUGGACGCCAGAGUCCAACAGUUGGUUCCCUGACCGGGAAUCGAGUCGCUCCCAGACACACUCUAGACCCAGUUGGAGGGCUAGUAUUUGAAGGGGACCAGGCAGUGGGACAGACGUGUCCGGGAACACUCCCUGGCCCAGCCAUGGAGGACGCUUCACUGGCAAUUUGUGAAACUAGGAGCAACUAGGUCAUCUUAGUUUCUAGGGAGUGUGGCCCUUAUUGCCCACUCCCUUCCAGGUUCGUAUCAGUUUGUUGCCGCGCGGCUUCUGAUUUUGAGUUUAUGUCUGUCUUUUUGUUCUUGUGUAUUUUCAGUUCUACACCAGAGUGGUGGUGAGAGCACCAGCUUCUGGUUUUGAGUUUAUGUCUGUCUCUUUGUAUUUUUUGUUUUUGUAUGUCGGUUUGUCUUUGUUAAAAUCCACCUGCAGGAAUUCAGAACCUGGCACCGGCCCCCUGGCCAUCAUUAGUUUCCCUGAUUCCGAAAGCAGCCCCACUGCUGGAGGAGAUGGUGGCUGCCCCUCCCCAAGCCCUUUGUCUUCUCUCUUUCCUGUACAGGAGCAAAAGAAACCCAGAAUCCAGGCACCUCUGGUUCUUCCUGAUAUCCAGCCGAGCAUGACAGACUUCUCCCUCCUCCUCCCCUGGAGGAAGCACUUCGUUCCUGAGGAGCCCCGCUGGUCGGGCCCUAGCCCUGAAAACUUCGGUACUCAGCAUCCACACUGGGACAGGGGAAGGAUGAGAAUGACUUCCCAAACAUUUCCCCUUCACUCAGUAGCAGGCCAAUUGCAAUACUGCCUUUUUCUGCCUCUAAUCUUUACUUACAACCCUUCCUUUUCUUGGGACCCUCAGACAGUGACCGGGCUUAUAGAAUCUGUUCUGGUUAUUCAUCAGCCCACUUGGGAUGAUUGCCAGCAGCUCUUAUAGGUGCUCCUAACUACAGAGAAAAAAAGAAUGUCCCAGGAGCUGACAGCAGGCCAACCCAAUCACCGGACAAGAAAGAGGAUGGGACUUCAAUACUCCAGCUGGUAGGGAGCAGCUCCGUCUUUAUUGCCAGAGUCCAGUUGGCUGGUCUAAAAAAAGGAGGGGGGGUUGCAAAACACCCCACUAAUUUGCUAAUUUGGCUAAGGUAAGAGCAAAGGUCUGAUAGUACUCCUACAGGAUUUUUAGAAAGACUAUUAGAACGGGACAGGAUGUAAACCCAUUUUGAUCCCAUGGCAGCAGAUCGCCAAGCCAAUGUAAUAAUGUCUUUUAUAGGCCAGUCAGCAUCAGACAGCAAGUUGCAGAGAAUGGAGGGGCUGCAGAGAUGCUCCCUCCAGGACUUAGUAAAAAAAAAAAUUAGACAGAUAGGGAGGCAACAGAAGACGACAGCUGCAGAGACUGCGCACCUCAGACAGAGCAGCCCCUGAAUGGCCAAAUGCAGACUUCAGUGAGGAGUGGCCCUACAGGACUUUGGGCUCGAGACACUCCCAAAGCAGCUGCUGAGCAGAAGCAGGUCGGAGAACGGCGCCAAGCACAGCCGGCUACUGAAGCGGCACUCUGCCCACCUGAGAGGCCAACGCAGCAGCCACAGUGAUAGUACUGAAAUUCCCCCCCCCUUGCUUAUGCUGUGCACCCAGGUGUUCGAUUCUGGGGUGUACGGAAAAAAAGGGGGAGGGGUUACCCCUCGCUAUAUCUAAAGCAUUUGACUAUGGACACAAGAACUGCUGAUUAUUCCUGAAUGUCCCACGCUUUUAUUAAAAAAAGACCUGUUGGAGACUUUGAUUUCCCCUACUGUUCUCCAGGACUGUAAAGAAAAGCAGGCUGCUCUCUGCCUUCGCCAUGCCCACCUUGCUGAGGAAGGCUUUGCAGCCACUGCCGGCUGAAUCCUCCCAGCUGCCUUGGUCACAGCCCAAGCCUGGGAACUCUGCUUACAGCCACCUGCCCCCGCAGGUAGCAACUGACUGAAGCGAGGAGGGGCCCGGGAGGUUCCGGAGCCCAAUUCCAAACAGCGUUCCCGAGCUGCUUGCAAGUUUCACAGAGAACAACUGCCCCCAGCUCCCAGACCGCAGCUAUGGAAAGCUUGGGGUUCAGCAAUGCCCAAGCAGAGCCGGUUUUGAUGGCGCAUGCUGGUAAAAAGGCAGGGCAGCAAUGGUAAAUGACCUGAGCAGUCUACUUAAAGGGACAUCACCUGGAUGGCAGAGAAUCUUUUUCUUACCAGGACUAUCUUGCAGCCUGGAUCCAUGCAUCUCACGUCAAGCCUACACCUCCACAGGACGACCCAGGACCUUCCAAAUGAAAGUUUCAGUGUACCCAAAAUCCUCUCAAGGAGGCCUGGUUCUGCCAGGCUUGCUGAUCUUUGCCCUGAUGUUUAUACCUUAGGACUUAACCUGGACCAUGACAAACUUUGAGACUGGGCAAGCCUUAAGGCCAGCCACUGGAGUUCAUCCCCUGAAUACCUGGUUCCCCCAGCUAACUUUUGACCUGUAUGUUUUAGCAAAAGCCUCUUGGGAGGAUACUGAGCAAACCCCUGAAAACUUUUAUCCUGUAUGCAAAUAUUCUAAAUGAUAUGUUUGUCCGGGGAGAAAAACAAUAUGGGGGGGGGGCUAAAAUAUUUUAUUGUGCUGCCUGAGGAUGUAAAACCAAUGUCAAUGUCUCCUGGUUGAGGGUUAAUGAAAAGGACUUAGUCUCUUUCACCCAUAAAUAGUAGGGAAUAGACUCAUCUGGCAGUUUAUUGAUCUAUGAUGGGCCUACAACACUGGUUUGUUAAUCUCUGUGUACAGAUCCAAUUGGUCCUCCAAAUUUACUAAUAUCUCAAGAUUGAGAUAUUUGACCAAAUAAGAGGAGGGAAUGUAAGACUUUAAGACAAUCCUGAAGCCAUUUUUGACAAUUCUGAAUCCUCUCAGCCUCUGUGCCAUAGUGCUUCCCCUCCUCCCCUGGGAACCAAGGACCUAACAGCUACACUUGCACGUACUCAGUUCCUGAACAAUUACCCAUAUACGUAUGCUUUGGUUCUGUCCCCUGGGAAACGAGGUCAAAAUGACCUCUUACCUCAUCUGAUCUGGCAACAGCUCUCCAGUCAAUUAUUGGUAAUAGCCCUUUCAAAUAAGCCAAUCAGAAUAGUCAAAGAACAACCCCCCUUGCUUCUGUGGCCCCUUUAAAAGUAGACUGUACCCGCUAUUCGAGGUCCCUCGGCUUCCCGAAUGCUGGGGGACCCUGUCAUGACAGAAUUAAUAAAAUCCUCAUGCUUUUGCA